RNAcentral lists this RNase P RNA (353 nucleotides) under bacterium. Its description in RNAcentral is "RNase P RNA component class A". It matches the Rfam family "Bacterial RNase P class A". Rfam says of the family: Ribonuclease P (RNase P) is a ubiquitous endoribonuclease, found in archaea, bacteria and eukarya as well as chloroplasts and mitochondria. Its best characterised activity is the generation of mature 5'-ends of tRNAs by cleaving the 5'-leader elements of precursor-tRNAs. Cellular RNase Ps are ribonucleoproteins. The record is from RNAcentral.
GGAGCAUGCCGGGCCAACGCGCCGCAAGGUGAGGAAAGUCCGGGCUUCGCAGGGCAGGGUGCAGGAUAACGUCCUGUCGAGGUAACUCGAAGGAAAGUGCCACAGAAACAUACCGCCCGCGUUCGCGCGGGUAAGGGUGAAAUCGUGAGGUAAGAGCUCACGGCGGGACCCGAGAGGAAACCCGCGGGUAAACCCCACCCGAAGCAAGACCGGCAGUACGGCUCCAACCGGGGCCCGGGCGGCCCGCCCGAUCUGCCUACGUCGCAUCAGGUGGCCGGUAACGGUCACCGCAGAGAGAUGCUGGCCGCCGGCUUCGGCCGGUACAGAACCCGGCUUACAAGCAUGCUCUCCCC